Molecule: long non-coding RNA, 2543 nt
Organism: Triticum aestivum (bread wheat)
Lineage: Eukaryota; Viridiplantae; Streptophyta; Magnoliopsida; Poales; Poaceae
Exons: 3
Source: RefSeq, a predicted model, not a curated record
CCAUCGAGCGAGAACCACUCUCACGCACGACUCUCUGCCCUCGUUCGCCGCCACCGCCGCUCCAUCCCUCGCCGCCGCCCUCGUUCACCGCCGCCGCCGCUCCAUCCCUUCGCCGCUGCCCUCGCACAUCAAAGCCGGCGUCCCUCCAUCCCUUCACCGCCGCCUCUAGAUCUUCUGCCUAGGGUUCCCCGCCGCCGCCGCAAAAAACACCAUCAAUCUCAUCCUUCGCUGCCCACUCCCAUCGAUCGUUGCCGCCGCCGCAGCCGUCGUCCGAGGGGGUCGUUAGUACGUAGGUCGUCGUUAGUUUCGUUCGUUAGCCUCCCCAUCGAUCCAUGCCGCCACCCAUGGUCCGAUCACCGGCCGUCGUAGACGUCGCCUCCCUGCCUCCCCACCGGCACCCUGCUGCAAGCGGCUUCUCCCCAUGCGUUGCCGCCAACACCGCUGGACGCUGCCGUGUCUCGCACAAUUCAGGCCAGCACCCAGGCCGAUCGUCGAGCCCUUCAGGUUCAGGUUUUGAACGUUCCUUCCUGUAUGUCCUUUCCUGUAAGAAUCUGUUUUUUUAACAGCAGGCUGGUUACUUUGACUCAUGUAUGUUCCUUCCUCCGGGAACAACAAUUUACUGCGUUGGAUUGAGUUGGGGACGGGAACGUGCUCCACUGCCGUUGCAAGUCCUCUGUGGUUCUUGGAACAGCGUAAGGUACCAGUGCCCCCUCUUCAAACUAAACCACUUCUUGUAUUAUUUGUUUAAUCUGAUGAUACUUAAGGAAUGCACAUAUCUCUAUCCUGUAUAUUGUUUUGGCCAUGUGGAAAAUUUGUUUAGUAGUUAACACUCAGAAGUCAAGGCACUUCGGAGCAAUAAUUAUUACACUAAUUACAUGAUUAUUCAUUUUUCUCUGUAGUUGUGAUUAAUGAGUUAUCUACUCAACAGUCAAGAUACUUUGGGAGCUAUAAACUUUAUAUAUGGAAGUUAAUAUUCUGUUUAGAAACUUGAAUUGUGGGGCAGAUGAAAAUGCUUCGUAAUUGAGAUAGGGGCUGUCAGUCAUGCACCUUUUCUUCUUUUGUAUUUGGGAGUAUUUUAUAUAUUUAGUGCAAUAUGAUUUGUGAAAUAUUUUUGGCCAAAUAUGUUUUUCGCCAUCUUCGGAUGAUUUUGGACUGCCCUCCCAAGACAUAGGUUGACGCUGAUAUCGAUGUAUCUAAAGAAAAUGAUAUGGAUGCUUCCUCGUUCUUUAUUAUUAGUGAUCCUGUAAUAUCUUUCUUAUCCAUUCAUGCAUGUCAAAGAUGCGCACGUUGUUGCUUCCUUGUGCUUUGUUAAUAUUGAUUUUCUAAAGGAUUUUUAUAGAUAAAUUGACAUGCAUGGCACAGAUUAACAGUUUGGCCAGACUAAAUUUGUACUGAGUGAUGUCAUUUUGAAAAGAAAAAUCUGAAUAAACUACAGCCCAUCAGACGAGAAAAGGCUGAUUCUGCCAAUUCAAGUUCGAUGUCUGGCUAGGUGUCUUGUGCAGACCUGACAUAGGCUAUGCUGGACAUGAGCAAGUGUUCCCAAUCGCAUCUUAAAGAAAUUCAAGUUCGAUGCAAGAAAGGUUUGCUCUUUCAAAAUCAAUGCAUUUGUGAGUACCAAGCUGAAUAAGGUUUAUUAUGCAUGCUGAAGAGGUUUGCCUGAAGUUACAUUUUUCAGAAACUUGUCAGAGGAAGAGACAAUGGGCUUUAGAGAAUUUGAAUACCUGGAUAGUGAUAAAUAGAGGGAUAAUUAACAUUGAGGUCCUAAGGGCAGCUUCAUAAAAGCUUUGUACCAAAUUUAUUGAAUUAGAAAUAACAGGAAAUGGUGCUGGGAGAUUCAAUACCAAGAUUUAUGAUUUGGCAUAGGCGAGAUGGCAUACAAGUGAGUAUGUUGUUUUGAGCUUUUCACGUAACUGCUCUUCUAAGGUCAAUGGCUUGCGGACUGUACUUCUAUAGACCCUUUCUUGCAUAAUGAGCUAUGUGUGCAUGCUCUCUUCCGUCAACCGAUCUCGAUGGCGCCCCCCUGGCAUGGUAAAUCAGGACGGCGGGUAUUGGCUGCGCCGCCAGUGUUGUUGGAUUGGAUCGGUUGCAACGUCGAAGAGUAUGGAUUGGGCGUGGGUGGGGUUGAAGAUGAUGGUGCGGGAGGCAGGCGUGGCAGCCGCAGAGAAGGAUGAGAACACACGUUAGCAAGGCCUUGGAUAAGACCGAGCUCAUGGGUGCCGAGGAGCUGACGGCAUCGCCCACUCGACGACCUUCCACGCCCCCUAAUGCUCGCCAUAGUGAAAGGUGGGGAGCCGACAGUGGAAGCAACAACGUUUUUUCGUUUCUUAUAUCCAGCCGACUGAAACAUACCCACAUCUACCGCUUGUCAUACACAACUGCCCCACUCGACCUCACCCUAUGGCACUCCCACCCUCUCCCCUAUCGCUCGCCUUGCUUUGCGACCGAUUCGUAUGGUGCCCUCGGCGUGGCGUAUACCCAUGUUUCUUGUUUGAAAACUUGUCCCAUAUUUCUUGCCGAUCAGAAUUUGACAUGACCAAUUUAGU